Molecule: ribosomal RNA, 393 nt
Filed under: uncultured bacterium
Lineage: Bacteria
Description: partial 16S ribosomal RNA
Rfam family: Bacterial small subunit ribosomal RNA
Source: RNAcentral
AUACGGAGGAUGCAAGCGUUAUCCGGAUUUAUUGGGUUUAAAGGGUGCGUAGGCUGACGUGUAAGUCAGAGGUGAAAUGUCCGGGCUCAACCUGGGAACUGCCUUUGAUACUGCAUGUCUGGAGUUCGGAUGCCGUGGGAGGAAUGGGCAGUGUAGCGGUGAAAUGCAUAGAUAUUGCCAAGAACACCGAUUGCGAAGGCAUCUCACGAAUCCGACACUGACGCUGAGGCACGAAAGCGUGGGGAUCAAACAGGAUUAGAUACCCUGGUAGUCCACGCAGUAAACGAUGAUAACUAACCGUCGGCGAUAGACAGUCGGUGGCCAAGCGAAAGCGAUAAGUUAUCCACCUGGGGAGUACGUUCGCAAGAAUGAAACUUAAAGGAAUUGACGGGG